RNAcentral lists this ribosomal RNA (484 nucleotides) under uncultured bacterium. RNAcentral describes it as "partial 16S ribosomal RNA". It matches the Rfam family "Bacterial small subunit ribosomal RNA", at positions 29 to 507 of the family's 1533-position model. The record is from RNAcentral.
AUUGAACGCUGGCGGCAUGCUUUACACAUGCAAGUCGAACGGCAGCGCGGGCUUCGGCCUGGCGGCGAGUGGCGAACGGGUGAGUAAUACAUCGGAACGUGCCCAGUAGUGGGGGAUAGCUCGGCGAAAGCCGGAUUAAUACCGCAUACGACCUGAGGGUGAAAGCGGGGGAUCUUCGGACCUCGCGCUAUUGGAGCGGCCGAUGGCAGAUUAGCUAGUUGGUGGGGUAAAGGCCUACCAAGGCGACGAUCUGUAGAUGGUCUGAGAGGACGACCGGCCACACUGGGACUGAGACACGGCCCAGACUCCUACGGGAGGCAGCAGUGGGGAAUUUUGGACAAUGGGCGAAAGCCUGAUCCAGCAAUGCCGCGUGUGUGAUGAAGGCCUUCGGGUUGUAAAGCACUUUUGGCGGGAACGAAAAGGACUGUGCCAAUACCACGGUUCGAUGACGGUACCCGCAGAAUAAGCACCGGCUAACUACGUG